This 557-nucleotide ribosomal RNA is filed under the name uncultured bacterium. Its description in RNAcentral is "bacterial SSU rRNA". It matches the Rfam family "Bacterial small subunit ribosomal RNA", at positions 102 to 694 of the family's 1533-position model. The record is from RNAcentral.
ACGGGUGAGUAACACGUGGGAACGUACCCUUUUCUACGGAAUAACCCAGGGAAACUUGGACUAAUACCGUAUGUGCCCUUCGGGGGAAAGAUUUAUCGGAAAAGGAUCGGCCCGCGUUGGAUUAGCUAGUUGGUGGGGUAAAGGCCUACCAAGGCGACGAUCCAUAGCUGGUCUGAGAGGAUGAUCAGCCACAUUGGGACUGAGACACGGCCCAAACUCCUACGGGAGGCAGCAGUGGGGAAUAUUGGACAAUGGGCGCAAGCCUGAUCCAGCCAUGCCGCGUGAGUGAUGAAGGCCUUAGGGUUGUAAAGCUCUUUCACCGGAGAAGAUAAUGACGGUAUCCGGAGAAGAAGCCCCGGCUAACUUCGUGCCAGCAGCCGCGGUAAUACGAAGGGGGCUAGCGUUGUUCGGAUUUACUGGGCGUAAAGCGCACGUAGGCGGAUCGAUCAGUCAGGGGUGAAAUCCCAGAGCUCAACUCUGGAACUGCCUUUGAUACUGUCGAUCUGGAGUAUGGAAGGGGUGAGUGGAAUUCCGAGUGUAGAGGUGAAAUUCGUAGA